AGUGAACGCUGGCGGUAGGCCUAACACAUGCAAGUCGAACGGCAGCACAGUAAGGGCUUGCUCGUACGGGUGGCGAGUGGCGGACGGGUGAGGAAUACAUCGGAAUCUACAUUUUCGUGGGGGAUAACGUAGGGAAACUUACGCUAAUACCGCAUACGACCUACGGGUGAAAGCAGGGGAUCUUCGGACCUUGCGCGAUUGAAUGAGCCGAUGUCGAAUUAGCGAGUGGGCUGGGUAAAGGCCGACUAAGGCGACGAUCCGUAGCUGGUCUGGGAGAAUGACAGGCGCCACUGGGACUGGGAGACGGUCCAGACUCCUACGGGAGGCCGCAGCGGGGACUAUUGGACAAUGGGCGUAAGCAUUAUCCAGCAAUACGGCGUAGGUGAAGAAGGCCUUGCGGUGGUAAAGCCGUUUUGUUGGGAGAGAAAAGCUUCAGGUCAAGGCCCAGCUGUUCUGACGGUACCCGAAGAAUAAGCACCGGCUAACUUCGUG
Molecule: ribosomal RNA, 492 nt
Filed under: uncultured bacterium
Lineage: Bacteria
Description: partial 16S ribosomal RNA
Rfam family: Bacterial small subunit ribosomal RNA
Source: RNAcentral